Molecule: transfer RNA, 69 nt
Filed under: Felis catus (domestic cat)
Lineage: Eukaryota; Metazoa; Chordata; Mammalia; Carnivora; Felidae
Rfam family: tRNA
About the family: Transfer RNA (tRNA) molecules are approximately 80 nucleotides in length. Their secondary structure includes four short double-helical elements and three loops (D, anti-codon, and T loops). Further hydrogen bonds mediate the characteristic L-shaped molecular structure. tRNAs have two regions of fundamental functional importance: the anti-codon, which is responsible for specific mRNA codon recognition, and the 3' end, to which the tRNAs corresponding amino acid is attached (by aminoacyl-tRNA synthetases). tRNAs cope with the degeneracy of the genetic code in two manners: having more than one tRNA (with a specific anti-codon) for a particular amino acid; and 'wobble' base-pairing, i.e. permitting non-standard base-pairing at the 3rd anti-codon position.
Source: Rfam by way of RNAcentral
GCCCGGCUGGCUCAGUAGAACGUGGGACUCUUGAUCUCAGGGCUGUGAGUUCAAGCCCCAUGUUGGGCA